UUACGGUCAUAUCACGUUGAAACAACGGUCCACCAUACUAUCACCGAAGUUAAGCAACGUCGAGCCUGGUCAGUACCUAGAUGGGUGGCCACUUGGGAAUACCAGGUACAGUAA
This is a non-coding RNA of Acanthosepion pharaonis, 114 nucleotides long. Lineage: Eukaryota; Metazoa; Mollusca; Cephalopoda; Sepiida; Sepiidae. The record is from the annotation of a GenBank genome assembly.